AACGAACGCUGGCGGCAGGCUUAACACAUGCAAGUCGAACGCCCCGCAAGGGGAGUGGCAGACGGGUGAGUAACGCGUGGGAAUCUACCGAGCCCUGCGGAAUAGCUCCGGGAAACUGGAAUUUAUACCGCAUACGCCCUACGGGGAAAGAUUUAUCGGGUUCGAUGAGCCCGCGUUGGAUUAGCUAGUUGGUGGGUAAA
Molecule: ribosomal RNA, 200 nt
Filed under: uncultured bacterium
Lineage: Bacteria
Description: partial 16S ribosomal RNA
Rfam family: Bacterial small subunit ribosomal RNA
Source: RNAcentral